UACAGAGGUGCCGAGCGUUAGGCGGAAUCACUGGGCUUAAAGCGUGUGUAGGCGGACUUCUCAGUACCUUGUGAAAUCCCACGGCUCACCCGUGGAACUGCUGGGUAUACUGGUCGUCUUGAGCCACCUAGGGGCCAGCGGAACAAAUGGUGGAGCGGUGAAAUGCGUAGAUAUCAUUUGGAACGCCAACGGUGAAAACAGCUGGCUGGGGGUGUGCUGACGCUGAGACACGAAAGCCAGGGGAGCGAACGGG
This 253-nucleotide ribosomal RNA is filed under the name uncultured bacterium. Its description in RNAcentral is "partial 16S ribosomal RNA". It matches the Rfam family "Bacterial small subunit ribosomal RNA", at positions 524 to 776 of the family's 1533-position model. The record is from RNAcentral.